UAGGGAAUCUUCCGCAAUGGACGAAAGUCUGACGGAGCAACGCCGCGUGAGUGAAGAAGGAUUUCGGUUCGUAAAACUCUGUUGUUAGGGAAGAAAAAAUGUAUAGUAACUAUAUACAAAAGAGACGGUACCUAACCAGAAAGCCACGGCUAACUACGUGCCAGCAGCCGCGGUAAUACGUAGGUGGCAAGCGUUGUCCGGAAUUAUUGGGCGUAAAGCGCGCGCAGGUGGUUAGAAAAGUCUGAAGUGAAAGGCAGUGGCUCAACCAUUGUAGGCUUUGGAAACUGUUUAACUUGAGUGCAGAAGUGGAGAGAGGAAGUCCAUGUGUGGCGGUGAAAUGCGUAGAUAUAUGGAGGAACACCGGUGGCGAAAGCGGCUCUCUGGUCUGUAACUGACGCUGAGGCUCGAAAGCGUGGGGAGCGAACAGG
Molecule: ribosomal RNA, 428 nt
Filed under: Verrucomicrobiota bacterium
Lineage: Bacteria; Pseudomonadati; Verrucomicrobiota
Description: Verrucomicrobia bacterium partial 16S ribosomal RNA
Rfam family: Bacterial small subunit ribosomal RNA
Source: RNAcentral